This is a long non-coding RNA of Oncorhynchus tshawytscha (Chinook salmon), 873 nucleotides long. The record is from Ensembl. Lineage: Eukaryota; Metazoa; Chordata; Actinopteri; Salmoniformes; Salmonidae.
GGGGUUUCUGUACAGCACUUUGAGAUAUCAGCUGAUGUAAGAAGGGCUUUAUAAAUACAUUUGAUUUGAUUUCUACUCCCAAGUUGUUACACAGGAGAUAUGUGCCUUACAACAGGCAGGUUCUGUCCACCCCCCAGGUUACCUCCUUACAACAGGCAGGUUCUGUCCACCCCCCAGGUUACCUCCUUACAACAGGCAGGUUCUGUCCACCCCCAGGUUACCUCCUUACAACAGGCAGGUUCUGUCCACUCCCCAGGUUACCUCCUUACAACAGGCAGGUUCUGUCCCCUCCCAGGUUACCUCCUUACAACAGGCAGGUUCUGUCCACUCCCCAGGUUACCUCCUUACAACAGGCAGGUUCUGUCCCCUCCCCAGGUUACCUCCUUACAACAGGCAGGUUCUGUCCCCCCCAGGUUACCUCCUUACAACAGGCAGGUUCUGUCCCCUCCCAGGUUACCUCCUUACAACAGGCAGGUUCUGUCCCCUCCCAGGUUACCUCCUUACAACAGGCAGGUUCUGUCCACCCCCAGGUUACCUCCUUACAACAGGCAGGUUCUGUCCCCUCCCAGGUUACCUCCUUACAACAGGCAGGUUCUGUCCCCUCCCAGGUUACCUCCUUACAACAGGCAGGUUCUGUCCACCCCCAGGUUACCUCCUUACAACAGGCAGGUUCUGUCCACUCCCCAGGUUAAUGUUCCUUACAACAGGCAGGUUCUGUCCACUCCCCAGGUUAAUGUUCCUUACAACAGGCAGGUUCUGUCCACCCCCAGGUUACCUCCUUACAACAGGCAGGUUCUGUCCACCCCCCAGGUUACCUCCUUACAACAGGCAGGUUCUGUCCCCUCCCCAGGUUACCUUCUUACAACAGGCAGG